Long non-coding RNA from Haplochromis burtoni (Burton's mouthbrooder), 1980 nucleotides. RefSeq lists it as uncharacterized. The transcript is spliced from 2 exons. Lineage: Eukaryota; Metazoa; Chordata; Actinopteri; Cichliformes; Cichlidae. The record is from RefSeq and is a predicted model, not a curated record.
UUUGGUUCUUGUUUUUAUUCCUAUUUUUUUUUUUGUGGAAAUGCAUUGUUGGGCUCUAUUUCCUUCAUGAGAUUCUGUUCAUUGUACACUAAAUUACCAAAAGUAUUUACUCACCCAUCCAAAAUGACUGCAUUCAGGUGUUCUAAUGAACACUUCCAUGACCACAUGUGUAUAGUGCGCUGAGGUCGCCCACUUUUGCAGAAUCAAUAGUGACGGACCAACAAACUUCAUGCGGCCUUUGAUUAGGUCAAGAACUGUGCGUAGAGAGCUUCGUGGAAUGGGUUUCUAUGGCUCAGCAGCUGCAUCCAAGCCUGACGUCACUAAGUGCAAUGCAAAGAGUCAGAUGAAGUGGUGUAACGUCAAUGUGGUGUGACUGAACCUUAUUUGUCUGGCAAUCGGAUGGACGAUUGGUGGAGGGGUCAUUUUAGACGCUCACGCUCCCAACUUUGUGUGAACAGUCGGGGAUGGUCCCUUCCUGUUCCAACAUGACUGCACACCAGUGCACAAAGCAAGGUCCAUAAAGACAUGGAUAAGUGAGUUUGGUGUGGAACAACUUGACCGGCCUGCACAAAGUCCUGACCUCAACCCAAUAGAACACCUGUUUGGAUGAAUUAGAGUGAAGGCGUGUCUGACCUCCAAAUGUGCUUCUGGAAGAAUGGUGAAAAAUUUCCAUAAACACUCCUAAACCUUCGAAAGGUUUUCCCAGAAGAGUUGAAGCUGCAAUGGGUGGACCGGCAUCAUAUUAAACCACAUCGACUAAGAAUGGGAUGACCCUCAAAGUUCAUUUAUGCGCGUGAAGGCAGACAAGCGAAUACUUUUGGCAACGUAGAGUAAAUCCACAUCCUAUUGGUCAAGAAUGUACCAGUUUGUUUGUCUUUUGGGAAGGGAAGGAAGGAAAUACAUGUCCUUUCAAUGAAUAUAACAUGAAAUUUCUCUUAAGAAAACAACAAAAAACAAGGAUAUUUGCUUUGAAUGCCAUUUUUGCCCAUACAUUCCUCUAUGCUAAGUACAAAUAUGUAGCAGCUUAAGUGUCCUAACAGAGGCAACCAGGAAUGUCAUUACCUCGUCAUUUUGUAAGACUUCUAAAGGAUAACUCCAAAUAAGACAGAAACUUGAUGAGCAGACAGUCUUGUUUCUAAUUUUUGUAUUUAAGAGCCUUUUUAUGGAGAUCUUUUCAAAACUAAUCUAAUUAUAUCAACUGUGACCCAUUUAUGGAAGCCCCAAAAUAGGCACAAGUGUUACAAGCAGAAAGUGCGAUGCAGAAAGAGUACUGAGAAGUAGUGCUGUGAGAUAUUGUAUGUUUUGGUACUGAUCCAAUACCAAGAGAAAAUACAGGACUAGUACUGCCACUACUAAUAUUGAUACUUUUAACCUACAACCUGCGUCUGUCUCUAAAGGAAACCAUGUAUCCAUCCUAUCUCAGUAGUACUGAUCCAGUACCAAUGCCAGCGUUGCAUCAACAAUAUCGAUAAUUGGAUCGAUGCGCCCACCUCUAACGGGAAGUAUUUGUGUGACUCAGUGAAUGACUGCCGCCUCUGAGUGGAAGCACGAGCAUUCAGAUUGGUAACACUUUAACUGUUAGCUCGUUGCUCUGUAACAACACCACCUAUAUCACGGCCAAAUCAGAUAUCAGCCAACAAGAGUCUUACAAACACAGGCAGUAGUUUAUUUACACAACCACGACCCUCGAUCUACCGUUCGCCUCUGUGCCUAAGCUGCGCCUCGUGGUCCAGACGAGUAAGUGCACUCGAAUACGAAAUGUAGGAAACGAGGAGCGUGUUCGUUUAUGUUAUGACUGGCCAGCACCUUAAGUCAAGAGCUGUGUGUUUUUGGCUCCUGUCACAACAGAGAUUUAGGGCAGAAUGGGGAAGUUCAAGAGUUUGUUUCCAGCAUGCGCCUGAGUGAUUUCUUGGAAAGCUACGCAGAAUUUAUGGGAAUGUCUUUGUUAAUAUUUUUGAUGUUUAUACAUUUUUUUGAGGA